AACGAACGCUGGCGGCAGGCUUAACGCAUGCAAGUCGAGCGCCCCGCAAGGGGCGCGGCAGACGGGUGAGUAACGCGUGGGAACGUACCUUUUGGUUCGGAACAACUCCGGGAAACUGGAGCUAAUACCGGAUAAGCCCUAACGGGGAAAGAUUUAUCGCCGAAAGAUCGGCCCGCGUCUGAUUAGCUAGUUGGUGAGGUAACGGCUCACCAAGGCGACGAUCAGUAGCUGGUCUGAGAGGAUGAUCAGCCACACUGGGACUGAGACACGGCCCAGACUCCUACGGGAGGCAGCAGUGGGGAAUAUUGGACAAUGGGCGCAAGCCUGAUCCAGCCAUGCCGCGUGAGUGAUGAAGGCCUUAGGGUUGUAAAGCUCUUUUGUCCGGGAAGAUAAUGACUGUACCGGAAGAAUAAGCCCCGGCUAACUUCGUG
RNAcentral lists this ribosomal RNA (431 nucleotides) under uncultured bacterium. RNAcentral describes it as "partial 16S ribosomal RNA". It matches the Rfam family "Bacterial small subunit ribosomal RNA", at positions 29 to 507 of the family's 1533-position model. The record is from RNAcentral.